Molecule: long non-coding RNA, 383 nt
Filed under: Pan troglodytes (chimpanzee)
Lineage: Eukaryota; Metazoa; Chordata; Mammalia; Primates; Hominidae
Description: long non-coding RNA NONPTRT004039
Source: RNAcentral
UUGACUCACAGUUCAGCAUGGCUGGGGAGGCCUCAGGAAACUUACAAUCAUGGCGGAAGAGGAAGCAAACACAUCCUUCUUUACAUGGGGGCAGCAAGGAGAAGUGCAGACCGAAAGGGUUUGGCCAUUGGGGUGUGUUUUCUGUUGGCCAUCAGGCUUAAACCCUAAGGGCUUACCAUUAUCUCUGCCAAUCCUGGAGCUUGUUUUUUAUCUGUUAUGCUGCUUAGGUUGUUAGGGCCUGCUGCUCGACUGGGUGGAAGCUGGUGAGAAGGGGUUAAUGGACGCAGCCAGCCAGUGGCAUAAGGAGAGUUCUUUCUGGAGGCCACAGGAAACCAGGGCGGCUUUGGACAGGUUAUAGGCUGUCAAGUAGGGCAGCCUGGUAA